AACGAACGCUGGCGGCGUGCCUAAUACAUGCAAGUCGAACGAAGAAAGCCUUUCGGGGCAAGUAAGAGUGGCGAACGGGUGAGGAACACGUGGAUAAUCUGCCCUUUGGCGGGGAAUAACCAAUCGAAAGGUUGGCUAAUACCGCAUAAGACCACAGUAGCUGCGGCUACAGAGGUUAAAGAUUUAUUACCAAAGGAUGAGUCCGCGUCCGAUUAGCUAGUUGGUGGGGUAAAGGCCUACCAAGGCGACGAUCGGUAACUGGUCUGAGAGGAUGAUCAGUCACACUGGAACUGAGACACGGUCCAGACUCCUACGGGAGGCAGCAGUAGGGAAUAUUGGUCAAUGGGGGAAACCCUGAACCAGCGACGCCGCGUGAGCGAUGAAGGCCUUC
This 391-nucleotide ribosomal RNA is filed under the name uncultured bacterium. RNAcentral describes it as "bacterial SSU rRNA". It matches the Rfam family "Bacterial small subunit ribosomal RNA", at positions 29 to 419 of the family's 1533-position model. The record is from RNAcentral.